UAGGGAAUCUUCGGCAAUGGGGGCAACCCUGACCGAGCAACGCCGCGUGAGUGAAGAAGGUUUUCGGAUCGUAAAGCUCUGUUGUAAGAGAAGAACGUGUGUGAGAGUGGAAAGUUCACUACAGUGACGGUAACUUACCAGAAAGGGACGGCUAACUACGUGUCAG
Molecule: ribosomal RNA, 166 nt
Filed under: uncultured bacterium
Lineage: Bacteria
Description: partial 16S rRNA
Rfam family: Bacterial small subunit ribosomal RNA
Source: RNAcentral